CGAGCCAGAAAGAUAGGUCUGUGAGAGGAGUCAGGCUAGAGGUGGCAGAACUGAGCCAAGCUACCUCACAAGGUCUGGGAAAAGAUCCAGGGGUUGUGGAGCUGGAACCAGCAGCAUCACACCAGGAAACUCGUACUAGAUGGAGAGGAGGAAGAUGCUAGUGCUGAGAGAGCAGCAGGGAAAUGGAAUCGCCUUCUUGGGAUUAGAGAAGAGACCCUAGGACCAAAGGGAAACAAGGGGGGAAAUCUGCAGCUACUGACUGGAAAGCCACCAAAACUACAGACAGCAUCGCUA
This is a long non-coding RNA of Alligator sinensis (Chinese alligator), 294 nucleotides long. RefSeq lists it as uncharacterized. The record is from RefSeq and is a predicted model, not a curated record. Lineage: Eukaryota; Metazoa; Chordata; Crocodylia; Alligatoridae. The transcript is spliced from 2 exons.